RNAcentral lists this microRNA precursor (75 nucleotides) under Myotis lucifugus (little brown bat). Its description in RNAcentral is "mir-9193 microRNA precursor family". It matches the Rfam family "mir-9193 microRNA precursor family". The record is from Rfam by way of RNAcentral. Lineage: Eukaryota; Metazoa; Chordata; Mammalia; Chiroptera; Vespertilionidae.
UCUGGGGUGGGGGGGAUCCCUCAGCCCAGAUUUCGAGAGGGUACAGACAAGGCUGAGGGACCCCACUGGUGCAUG